Molecule: ribosomal RNA, 254 nt
Filed under: uncultured bacterium
Lineage: Bacteria
Description: partial 16S ribosomal RNA
Rfam family: Bacterial small subunit ribosomal RNA
Source: RNAcentral
UACGUAGGUGGCGAGCGUUGUUCGGAUUUACUGGGCGUAAAGGGCGCGUAGGCGGCCUCUGCAAGUCGACUGUGAAAUCUCCGGGCUUAACCCGGAACGGUCAGCCGAUACUGCAGGGCUAGAGUGCAGAAGGGGCAACUGGAAUUCUCGGUGUAGCGGUGAAAUGCGUAGAUAUCGAGAGGAACACCUGAGGUGAAGACGGGUUGCUGGGCUGACACUGACGCUGAGGCGCGAAAGCCAGGGGAGCAAACGGG